CUCAGGGGGAACUGAGGCCCAGGCAGUACAUGUGACUGCAAGUGAGCUGCCCUGAGUCAGUGGGUGAGGGGAGAAAAGGCCAUCCCCAGCUCCUGUGUCAUCACGUGAUCCCAGAGCAUAGCAAACUGGCUUGUUUUGCAACCCAGGCAGGCCCUUUAACCACAAGCCUGCUGGCUGGGCCCAUGUGGGGGGGGGAUGAUGCCAACCCUCUUCCCUCGAUGAGUCAUGCUUCUUCCCGCAAUAGCUGGGGGAGGAUGUGGAGGAGCUGGGCUCUGGGGUAGAGGCUACUGCCCAUAGGCCCUGCCAGGCUGGGUGCCCUGAAGGGUGAUGGGCCCCAGGGACCCGCAGGGAAGUCCCUGAUGUGGCUGCCGCUCUCAGAUGUAGAUUAACACAACCACGGACAUCUGCUUAGACCACCACAGCUAGUGCCUGUGUGCUGAUGGUGAGGAGCGGGAACUUUCAGGGGCUUCCAAUGAACCCUGAGUAAUGCAUAUUCUGUCCACAGCAUGUGCUCAGGCAUCAGGAUAACUUACAAGGCAGGGAUUGCUGGCCCUGUGGUAUAGAUGGGGACACUGGGCCUCAAUAGAGGUGGGCACAGUGAAGCGCAUAGAGUGAAAUGACUAUCUAACCACACAGCUAGCAAGAGGAGGCUGAACUUCAAAAUCCUUGCCCAGGGGCUUGCAUCUGAAGGAAGUAAUGGACAUAUGACUAAAUUCUUAGCUCUGGAUCUUAAAUGGUAAUUUCCCCAGAAAGGGUUGUGAUGUGUAUAUUCAUUGCACAGAUGAACGACCUCGAUUCAAAAGGUAAGAUGACUUGGCGAAGACUUCUCAGAAGACGAUGACAGAGCAAUUUGUGAAACUCCUCCAUGUCACCCCCUUAGAGUGACACAUUUUGUUACUGGGUUUUCUGCUAAAUCUCAGGGUGAACGCUUGGUGAACCCUGAGGUUUUUCCGGGCCUGGUGAAAUCCUCACCAAACUUUUCUGACCAAAGAAAGUUGUAUUAAAGAAAAUUGUAUUAAUAUAGUAUUAAUAUUGUAAUAAUAAUACUUAUGUUAAUGGUAGCUAGCAUUUAUGCCAUUAACUUUCCAAUCCUUCAGAGCAGAGAUCUGCAGUCUAUAGCCCACAGGCCAAUCCUGCUUUGUAAAAAAGGUUUUAUUGGAACACAGCCAUGCCAAUUUGUUUACAUAUGUCUGUAUCUGCUUUCUUGCUGCCAUGGCAGAAUUGAGUAGAUGUGACUAAUAAAAUGUAUAGUCCUCAGAACCCAAAAUAUUCACUAUCUGGCCCCUGGCAGAUAAGGUUUGCCAAUCUCUACUUUAUGUUCAUUAUUGUGACAUGAUAUAUUAUUACUAUCUCCAUUUUACAGAUAAAGAAACUAAGGUUCAGAGAGGACCUUCAAGCAAUUUGCUUGAAGUUUCAGAGAGACUGGAACUCAGAGAUUCCGUCUUCCAAACCUGUGAUGUUUCUUUGUAUGCUCUCCUGGAAGUGCCAGUGCCAGUCCAACUUUGAGGGAGAAGGCAGGAGACUGAUUCCUCAUAGAUUCCAGAACCCCCAAAACAGAAUACUUCAGUAGCAUUUUGUUUUUGGGAAAAUGCUCUGAUUAUUUAUUGUUACAUAAAGGUAACCCCUAAUGGGUAAUGGAAAACAAUAGUAAUCAUCUACUUUGCUCCCAAAUGUGCAAUCUGAGCAUGGUUUGGAAGGAACAGCUGUCCUCCACACAACACCAGCUGAGGAUCCACUUCCGAGAUGACUCGCACACGUGGCUGAUGCUUCCAGAAUACACCUGGAGGAAGGUAUCAACAUGAUCCUGACUCUUCUGACCCAGCCAUGCACAGCCAUUGGCCCUGGGCACUCCAGCCUGUUUUCAGAAGUCCCAGUUCUCCCUGACUCCUCGCAGCCUUGCUCCCUACUACGACUCGUUUUGCUCGUAGGCUCACAGCACAGUGAGUCGUAACCCAGGAGUCUCUUGGAGUCUCCAGUUGUGAAACUGAAAGAUGUUCAUUCAAUUUUCCAAUUGUUAUUAUUGCAUCACUGCAAAAUGUAUGUUUAUUUCAUAUGAAGCCUCUUUAUUCAUCUGUAAAUUAAUAUAAUGCAUUUUUAGUUAAUUAUCUUGUGGUUUGAGGUAGACACUCAUAUCAUGAACAAAUUCAUAAUUUUGUUUUUUCUUUAAUAAUAGUUUCACUUCAAUUUUUUCUUGCCUUAUUGCUUUGACUAGAAUUUCUAGAGCAAUUAUUAGUGCCAAUGUUUUAAGGGACAUUCUCGUCUUGUUCUUUUUUUUAAUAGCAGUGUUAUUUAUACAUUGCCACCAAGUAUGAAAUGACUACCAUUUUGAGAUACAUACUUAAAUCGUGCUGUUUUAGGCUCAGAUCUUCUUAUUCCUUAUGUUCUAUAAAUUGUUUUAAAAGAAUGGGCAUCAAAUUUACCAAUUACUUCCUCAUAUUUAUCAAGAUGAUUGCAUUUUAGUUGACCUGCUGCAUAUAUUCGUAAUGUUUUCCCUAGCAUUAAAUAAUCUCUUUAGUACUGAAUGUAAAUAACUAUGUUUUUGUAUUUCAAUGAAUUAGAUUUGCUGGUGUGCUUUGAGAAUUUCUGCAACAAUCUUUAAAAGCAAUAUUGAUGUAUAGUUCUGAUAUUAAUAUAGUACAUGCACCCUGAAAUAAAAGAAAAUACAUCAAACCGUUGGAGACAGCUUUGCAAACAAACUGCUACAAAUAUGUUACAGUUAAAAAUAAAAAAAUAUAGAUUAUAAAAAGAAAAAAAAUAGGGUAAAACCCAGGGCUGAUAAGGAUAUGGCACAAGAUGGACUCUUACGCAUUGCUGAUAGGCCUAUUAAAAGUCUAAUAAAACAGUGAUUUGACAAUGUAUUUAAUGAGUGAUAAAAAGUUAAUAGACUUUGCCCUAGUUUUUCUAUACCUUGGAAUUUAUCCUAAGGAAAUAAUCAGGGUUCCACACACACACAGAUUAUGUGCAAAGAUUUUCAUGCAUAGUAUUAUUUGUAAGUGAACAGUUAAACAAAAUGUAAAUGUCAAAUAUUAGAAGAACUGAUGACAGCACCUCCAUAUGAUGGAAUACUUUAUAAACACUAAAGGCAUGUUUGAGGAUAUGAAAUAAAGUUUAAAG
This is a long non-coding RNA of Manis javanica (Malayan pangolin), 3114 nucleotides long. RefSeq lists it as uncharacterized. NCBI's taxonomy places the organism in Eukaryota, Metazoa, Chordata, Mammalia, Pholidota, Manidae. The record is from RefSeq and is a predicted model, not a curated record.